AUUAUACCCUAUAGGUUACGGAUGCUGGAAUGCCCUGUAACCGAAAGUUCCGACGCCUUAGGAUGGAUCUGCGGCCGAUUAGGUUGUUGUCGGGGUAAUGGCCCAACAAGCCAGUGAUCGGUACAGGUUGUGGGAGCAAGAGCCCGGAGUUGGAUUCUGAGACACGAAUCCAGGCCCUACGGGGCGCAGCAGGCGCGAAAACUUUACAAUGCGGGCAACCGUGAUAAGGGAACCUCGAGUGCCUGUAUAUGCAGGCUGUCCAGGUGUCUAAAACACACCUGAAGAAAGGGCCGGGCAAGACCGGUGCCAGCCGCCGCGGUAAUACCGGCGGCUCGAGUGGUGGCCACUUUUAUUGGGCUUAAAGCGUUCGUAGCUGGGUUGUUAAGUCUCUUGGGAAAUCCGGCAGCUUAACUGUCGGGCGUCUAAGGGAUACUGGUAAUCUUGGAACCGGGAGAGGUGAGGGGUACUUCGGGGGUAGGAGUGAAAUCCUGUAAUCCUCGAGGGACCACCUGUGGCGAAGGCGCCUCACCAGAACGGCUUCGACAGUGAGGGACGAAAGCUGGGGGAGCAAACCGGAUUAGAUACCCGGGUAGUCCCAGCCGUAAACGAUGUGCGUUAGGUGU
This 623-nucleotide ribosomal RNA is filed under the name uncultured archaeon. Its description in RNAcentral is "bacterial SSU rRNA". It matches the Rfam family "Archaeal small subunit ribosomal RNA", at positions 146 to 774 of the family's 1478-position model. The record is from RNAcentral.